UCUGUUGAUUUCCAAUCAGGAGAGCCGGAUAACGAUAUGAAUUUCGACAUAGAGGAAGCUAAAGGCGGUGAUAUGAUUCCUGGGCUAGGCGUCGUCGAUGCGGAGGAAAGAAAUCGGAACGCAGCUUCUGAUGUGACGGAGGCGGUGGCCGGCGAUGGUAUGGAAGAGUGGGAGGAGGAAGACAGUGACAGUGAAGACGAUUUGCAGAUUGUGUUGAA
Molecule: long non-coding RNA, 218 nt
Filed under: Linum usitatissimum (flax)
Lineage: Eukaryota; Viridiplantae; Streptophyta; Magnoliopsida; Malpighiales; Linaceae
Description: long non-coding RNA (LUSI_LNC000204)
Source: RNAcentral